AAGGCCGGCAGGCAGGAUUGGGCGUCGCGCUGAGCUUCGGCCGGUACGACGGAGCUCCACCGCAUUGGUGAGGAACCAGAGCCAGGAAAGUCGGCGAGAGUGUGUGGAGAGGCAGCGCUCCGCUAGGGAUUAGCGGCCGAGAGAGUUGACGUGCGAUAGAGGGAGGCAAGGAAACAUGGGUUCUCGUAGAUGGCUAAUUCACAUUGUUAUAUGAUUUUUAAUAUUGCGCGGUACAAAAUACAUGUUGAUCAACGAUUGUGUUAUAUUUGGAUUUAACUUGCGUAGAUUUGAAAAGCCCAUUUUAUUUAAUGUUGUAUCGUAGCAACGCACGAAGUUUGGUUGAAGUGUGCGGUAAUACAAAUCAAUGUAGCGGCGGCUUCGCAGAAACAUCUUCUUAGGAUUAUUAAUCAUGCUCGUCAUGAACAGAAAAAAAUUGUAACCACCUUUGUUAUAUAUACAUAUAUAUCUUAAAAGAAAAUAAGGGUGGUGCACAAAAUGAUUAGUAGUCCCGAAUAUUACAAGUCAGGUAUGAUUAUGUUUUUUUUAGAUAGGAAAUUAUUAUGUUGGUGGUGACAGGGUAGCAUUUCAUAAUUUGUUUCUUCCGGUGCAACGCACAGGCACUUUUGCUAGUACUGACCUACAUUAUAACCUAUAUAAAAGCUAAACCUCUUUGCUGAAACCUUAUGCUUUUAACUACUGUUGAUGGGGUCUUUUCUCCAUAUAGAGAUGGACACGUAACCUUUUUUCACUGUAGAUGACGAUCGGUAACUGUAGAUCCGUUUUGGGUGCCAUUUUUUACUUCCGUGCAAAAUCCGUAAUAACCGGAUCUGUACCGGUUGCCUUCCGGUUCCUCCUCGAUGUGCACACUAUUUUUUUUCUUCUCUACGUGCUGUUAAUUCUAGGUCUUCCGGUUUCUCUCCGGUUCACAACGUGGGACGGCCAAAGCGGUGAACGUCCCCACCAUCGAGAGCGAUCCAGGAGCUCCACGUCUCCACCGCUUUGAUUCGCACAGAAACUCACCUCCUCCCAAUCGCCGCCACCCACAUCCUCUCCCAGAUUCGGCUCCCUCCUCUCCCUUUUCAUCCCCCGUGUGGCCUUCUGCUUGGGUUCCUCCCUUCAUGCCCCUUUCCUAGAGCACCUUUGGCCAUGGCCUAACCAUGGCGGCGCCGGAGGACUGCACAUGCUCUGGUUCCACGCGUUGUGGACGAUUUGCCCGCUCUGCGUGCCCGCCUAGCCUCUCCACUCCAUGUGCUUCGGAUUCGAGUGCAGAAGAGGAUGUGCGUGUCGUCGCUGGUGGAGCUGCUGGAUUGGAGGCUGGAGGGGUGAUCGUGCCUCACCGCCUUGGUCCCCGCCUUUGCCGCUCAGCCGAGAUCCGGGUCCCCGUGCCGGAGUCGCCAGCGACCUUGAUUCUGUGCUGAUUUUUCAUAGCUCUGUACUGCGUCGGUGUUGCCUCAAGCACCGGAGAAAGAGGCAUGGCAUAGGUGCACAACCAACCGUACUACAGUCCUGCUGGUGUAGAUAGCUUGAACAUGUUUGAUCUAAUGUCCUACAGGCAGUAAGGUUGCUCUUUUCCUCUUUUUGCUUUUGUACCUAAAUUAAUAAUUUUCAGUUUGCCAUGCACGAGUGUAGGCUGCAGCUGGCGAUGGUGUGCUUGGUGCAACAAAGUGGUGUUAAUAUUACACAAAUUAGUUCAUUAUGUCAGUUGUUCUUCAGGUCUAUUUUCAAAAGGGGAUCCUGGGUCUUCUGUCCAGAAGGUGAGUUCUCAGAAUCCAUGGUCACUAUAGGUUUACAGUAUUUGUGUUAAAUGUGAUAUUCCUAUUUUUUUUUGCCGGGCACAAUGUUCCUAAAUUUAACUUUUGGGCAUAUGCUAUUUGCAGACUAAAUGUUACUCAAAAUGCAUGCUUUUGUUGUACCUUUUAUUCUUUUGUUCAGGUUUAUUUGAUGUCCCAAUGCUAUGUACUAUGUGCAGAUGCUCCUCUUUUGAUAAGUACAACACAUUCCCUACCUUAUUUGCGUCCCCUUCUACCCACACUAUUUUAGCUUCCAAUAUUGUCAGCAAGUAACUCUCACAAAUGCCCAUCCAACAAUGUUUCUAGCUUUUUAAAUCACACAUUGCUCAGAGCGUUGGUUUCCCAUUCAUACAAAUUACUUUCAGUACCAAUAUUGUUUGAAAAUGAUUACCACAAACAAGACGAUGUUUACAUCUUUGCUUCUUCUAAAAAUGUGGAUUAGUCUACCUCCAAGUACUAUCAGAAAAUGAUCAUCACACUUGCUGAUUUAACAGUGCUUCCAUCAGUCGGAACCAAAUGCUGUUUAGAACUUUAGAUACACUUUCAGAUAUCCAUGUAUUUAGAUGGCCAUUACUAAUUAAAAGAAUUCAGUUUUCUUUGUAUGCAUGUCUUCUGGCAAAUUUUGGUUGCUUUUUUGGUACAAGUAACCUUCAAUAGCAUUUCAGGGUCAUAUCUUUAGUUCGCGUUUAUUUCAGUACAUGCUAAUUUUGUCUUCUGCUCCACAUGUUGUUAAUUUUACUGCCACUUAAUAAUGCGUUUUAAAAAAUACUAAUAUUCCCUAAAAGUUAUUUGUAUAUUUGAUGUUCUCUGGUGUCUACAUUUGAAUCGCAUAAAAAUGGCCUUCCUUAUUUGACGCAAUUAUUUGUUUUCACCUCUUCGUUAUCCAGGAGGUAUAUGUUACUGCUGCUUCGAAUAUUUCCAUAUCUGUUUGAUGCUCUAGAAGGUUGAGGAGAUAUGGCCUUCAUGUGUGAUUGUUUGGGCUGGUUGUUUCUCGCCUAAUGUUUCUUUUUUUCGUGGGGAAAAUUCUUGAUGGAACAUUUUAUACUUCCUGCUUAUAGUGCUUGGAACCAGCAUCUAAUUGAUGCGAGCUAUAUCUGUGUGCACAUGAAUUUAAUUUUUUAGGAUUUGGUGUAUCAAUAUAAUCCUUUCGAUUAUGACCGACAGUUAUAUUUUUCCUCUUCCAGACACGUAUGUCAAUGAAUGAGGCCAUAGAGCACUUUCAGAGCAUCUUCAGGUUGAAGUUCUAUUCCUCUGUUGUGCACUUCCAUUUACCUCGAGAAGCAUUGCAAGCAGCAUUCUAUGAACAAGUUAUGUGGGUUGGAGGUCCUAUCUGUACGCAACAAGAGUUUUUUUGUUCUAUUCAUUGUUGCCAUAUGCAGUUGUAUGCUAGAAAUGCAUUCCAGCAUGAACCUGAGCAGUGACGUCAUAAGGCAAGUAAGCCUAUAUAAGUUGUAAUUCAGCACAUGAAUUCUGAGUAGGUAAUUAGGUGUAUUCUUCGAGGUGGAUUUAAAUCUUGGGAAGCUGCUCAUGAAAGCGAUUGCUCAGUGUAAAUUUUGUUUGCAGGUUUACCCAGAAAUAACUACACUGAUUAAUCGUAAGGCACACUUUUGAUCCUAGAACUGGAACUGUAUUUACACAAUAUGAUAUAACUCACCAGUUUGUUCAUAAUUGCCUCUAGAAGGACUAUUAGCUAAUCAGAAUUUUCGAUAUGUUCAUUGAAUUGCAUGUUGAAUUACCUAAUGUUCUUUUUUGUUUUGUACCUGUUGCUAGCCUUUCCAUGUGCCUCUCAAUAUUGGUGCCAGUGUGGGCAACCUUCUUGCACAUUUGAAGUUCAGUGUUGUCGAUGCCAAAUGGAUCAGACAUGACCUGCACACUUAAAGUUCUGAGUAGUUGAUGCCAAAUGGAUGGGACGAAGUAAUUACCCAGCAUCUGUCUUAGGAGUUGGAGCCCUAAAAAUCUAUUAACAGAAAUUAUAUGGAAAGAAGAAAAGGUUUGUGCAUUUAGGGGUAUGUGUUUCUCCUCUUCUCUUCCAUUCAGUUUGUUGACUAUAUGAAUGUGGUCCACAUGAUAAACACCUGAGAUAUGGAUGAUGUCCACAUGAAGUACUCCGAGAUUGAGAAGGUGUGAUUUAAAAGGUAUGGACGAGUCAAGGAGGCACGAUCCGCGAGUGAAGGAAAUCUUUAUGAGCGACACUCGGAAUUUCUUUGAACAUAUCAUAAAUUCAGAAUUCUCCAGGUUUUAGGGACUGUAAAUUCCCUAUGUUCAGAGGACAAUAGUAGGAAAAUGAUGUAGUUUGGUCACAAAAUAUGUCAUAAAGUGCAAGUUCCUGCAUAAUGUUAGCAAGAUGGUCUACGUGGUACAUGUGGCCCAUUCUGAGGGGUAUAUAUUGAAGAAGUUAGUGGGACUUAAUUGUAUUUCUCUCAUCGAUAUAGGCAUGACCGCUGCAGAUACAUUUGUCUGCAUGGUCAGAAAGGGCAGGCCUCAAUUUAACAAUUUUCCUGAGCUAAAGCCAAACUAGGGGACAUCUAAGGGGAAGAAAAAGAUGCACCUGAUGGAGAUGGUCACCUGGUAGCAGUAUGCCGGCAACGUUGGAAGCCCUCAUCAUCGACGUCUCCUGCCUAGAAUGUCACCUUGACACCGGUGUCGCCAGCGAACCAGUGCUGCCAUCGUCAUCACGCUAUGUGGAUCCAUGGAGGGAGUUGCUGCAGCCUGCAGGCAUAUCACGCAGCAGGGUGAGAGACCACACUCUUGCAUGAAGGCCGAAGCUGGCUCGACGCUGACUCCACACCGGUGCUCUGCUAGCAACGUGAACCACCUCAACCAGCAGUAAAAGAACUAACACAUACCAGCGUUGAGACCAUCAUAUGGGGAGUCACCACCAGUGAAAAGCGGCAACGCCAUCACUCUUGGACGGUACGGCUUUCGAUUCACCAGGUGCAGAGCAGGAGCACAUACACAGUGCAACGGUGGUGAUCGUUGAUUUGGUUGGGUUAGAGGGCGAGAAAGCACUCGGCAACAUCGAUUUCUAGAGGAGAUGGUGAAGAAUCGGCAAGAUGCUGACCAUUGAGGGAGUGAAGAAAAGGGGGAUCGAAGAAAGAAGAUGGGCGUCAAAGGCAUGGAUGAGGGAGAGAUAAGCAUCAGCGUGUGCAGGUGCACGUGUGAUCAGUUAUCUGACAUGGACCCAACAAUGUAUUUGUUUAAUACAUACAAUGCCACAAGUCUUAGAUGUGUGCAUCCUUAUGCGAAGAAAAACAAUAGUCCAUGUACUACGGGACAAGAAUUGACUGAAAACGUAGCCACACAUUUAUCUUACCUAUUUGCUAUAUUUGUUAAUUGUUGCUAGGAAUAUUGUAAGGUUUAUUGCCACCAGUAGCCUCCUCACACAUGCAUACUUUAUUCUUAUUUUUGUAA
Lolium perenne is the source of this 5201-nucleotide long non-coding RNA. RefSeq lists it as uncharacterized. The record is from RefSeq and is a predicted model, not a curated record. Lineage: Eukaryota; Viridiplantae; Streptophyta; Magnoliopsida; Poales; Poaceae.